RNAcentral lists this non-coding RNA (29 nucleotides) under Mus musculus (house mouse). Lineage: Eukaryota; Metazoa; Chordata; Mammalia; Rodentia; Muridae. The record is from RNAcentral.
GCUCUUCUAAAGGUUGUCUCUGCGCCCUC